UGGGGUGGGGCUGUGAGCACCUGGUAAAGGUUGAGAAUGGGAGUUUGUGCUUUCAAGAAUCCUUGGGAACAGAUCGGAAUUGCGGGUUUUUGGAGUUUGGGCAGGGUGUGAGUGCUGACCUACGUGGGUGGAGCUAUUGGGAUACUAGGGCGGAGCUUUGGAUUCCAACUUAACUUGGCCCAGAUCUACUUAAGGACAAGGAAGGACUGUGCAGGUUGAACUGGUGGGCCAGACUGUCAGUACUCAGUAAGGUGGUCAGGGCCUCCAACGUACCAGCCAGUGCUGUGUGUGGUGAGAUUAUGUUGAUAGAGCUAAGCUUUGGAUCGUGGCAUUACUUGUUGGAGGACUACAGGAGGAGGAAGGCUUGCCUGUGCGUGUGAGCCGGAUUAGAAAUGAUGGGCGGGGCUGUGUAUGCUGAGAUAGAUUGCUGACAUAUGAAGUAGGAACAGAGCUUUGGAUAGUGACAUAGUAAAGUCCCAGAAAUUCUGAAAGAGAAUGACAGUGUCGUUUGAGAUGUAAGAGCCAGGUUUUGGGUUGUGGAUGGGGCUGUUAAUGCCAGUUUGGAUCUCUAAAGUGCUGGCCAGGACUGUGAAUUGUGAGUGUGACAGCAGGGCUGAGCAAUCCUGAUAGAAUGUGAUAGAAGACCACUUAAGGAAUAGGACGUGGAUGUGGAUGCUGACAUAAGAGUACGGAUUGUGUAUGCUGGACAGGAUGGGUGCACUACUGUGAGUAGUGCUAUAUGAAGCAAGGGAGGAGGAGUCUGGUCAUUUGUGAUGAUGCAGGAGUGGCGGGUAGGACACUGCUUUCUGAGUUAGUUGUGGUGAGUAGUACUGUGUAGGUUGUUGUCUGAUGAUGGGCAGUACUGUGCACACAGUGUGGUUGGAGUGGUGGGAGGGGUGUGGGUUUGAAGGUAGGAGAGGUGGGUGUUGUUGCGAAUGUUGCUCAGGGCACCCAGGGUUUACAGAGUACUGGGAAAGGUCUAUAGGUAUUUCUGGAGGGGGAGGGAGACAUCUGAAUACUGACAUACCAUGACAGAGGAUCACUGGAGAGGGAAGAACAAGACUGUAUGCUGAAGUAGGAGUGGUGGGCUUAGCUGUGAGUGCUGACCUAGGUGAGCUGUCUCGAGAGUAACAGGGAUGGUUGUCAAUGGUAAGAUAUGAAGUGGGGAUUGAACUUUGGAUAUUAAUACAAGAUGAUGCAGGACCACUGGAAGUGGGGGGCAGAGAAGUGUAUGCUGAAGUGGGGGUGAUUGGUGAAGUAUGAAGUAGAGCUUUGAAUACUGUCAUAAUAAAUUUCAGACUGCUGAUGUAGGGCUGGGCUUUGAGUGCUCACCUCCAUGGGUGAGUCAAUGGAAGCAGUGUUGUAGGACAAAGGAAGACAGCAGUGAAUUCUAACCUAACAAGACUCAUGCUAAUGGAGAAGCCCAGCUGAGUGUGUUGAGAUUAGCACUAGAGGCAGAGAUAAAGGAAAAUCAGGGUGGGCCUGUGAGUACUGUGGUUGACCUGGGGGCAGGGAGUGGGCUCCUGAGUAAGCAAGAUAAAGUUGUUAGUGGCAGAGUAGAUGGGAGAGGAAGAAGUUUAGGGCAGACCCCUGGAUUAAAAAGUAAGGCAUUUGGAAUGGGGCUGCAGGAAGAGGAGCUAAGCCGGACUGUGAGAGCUGAGGUGGGGAUGUGGAAAGUGUCCUAUAAGUUGCUGUAUAGAUAUGGGUGGGGCUUGGGAGGAGCAGGGUAGAGCAGGGUAGGGACCUUUUAGGUAUGUCAAAGAAGCUUGUAGAGUAGCUACUUGGAGUUGGAAGGAGGCACUCAGAGAUUGUGAGGCACAUCCUUAAGUAAGAGAGGCAAAGUAAGAAGAGAAGGAUGCCUUAGGGACCUAACCAUAUCCUGAGGGUGAUCUCCAGGGGACACCUUAGAGGGCAUGAAUGCUGCAAAAAAAAAAAAAAGGCCAGGAACUUUUGUCUGGGACUCAGGUAUACUUAAGCUAAGUCUUAAAGGGUAAGACUCAAUUCCUGAGGAGGUCAGCCUCCUUUUCUCCAAGCCCUGCUGUCUAAAAGUACCAAUGGUCCUAAUCUUACUAAGGUUUAUUUCAAGUGCGAAUUUGGCAGCCAACUCUGGAUCCCUACCUCUGCGGUGCCUAGAAGAAAAUAUGGCUGUCUUCUUGUUUGCCAGGGCUACCCAAGGUCAGUCUUCAUCUGCUGCCUGAGCUCCUUUCCGAGCCUCUGGAUGAGCUUGUCCUGGAUAUCUCCACUUCAACCAUUCUCCACACGCAGGUCAAAGAAUAUCCUAUUACCCAUCCAUACAGCCCAUACACCUCCCCAAGUUCUGGCAAAUGGGAUCAUAUAGUACUACCCGGAGCCCUACAUUUAUUGCUGGUUUUGACAUUUCAUAUGGACGAGAAGAAGCUGUGCCUCAGGAACCCUAGACAUGGAUGGACUACUUAGUCUAUUGGCAUCCAUGUAAUGCAGUACCAGGCCUUAAUUGACCAUGAACUCUCCUAGAGCAUGCAAAAGCAACUGUAUCAUCGUGGGUCAUCUAAGAAGACACAGAGGUUCUUCGUCUUCCUCCGGGGCUCCACGGUCUCUGAUGAGAAGGCCCCAUCUUUCUAAUUGUUUUAGGCAUAUCAAUAUAGGAUCAUUUCUCUUCGAGUGCUUCUAAGCUGGAAUCCUGUGACACACAGAUGUGAUGGAAUCCAGCACAUCAGAGGAAAGAGGAGAGGCACUACUCCCUGAGUGAAUGGUGAUUCCACAUCUUCAUCUGUCCUCUUGAUUUCCAAGACUCCCUCCAUCUCCAGGGAAACUUCAAGUGAUUUCUCAUUGAGGUGCAAUGUGGGCUUCUGAGCAGGAGGACUUUACUGUUGCCUUCAGGCCUUAUAUGAUUUUUUUUGAAGGAACUCCAUUGCCAACAUCCUGUAUGCUUAACUUUAGAGUCAAUUUUCUUUUGUGAACAUGCAUAGUUAUUGCAGAAGUCAGAAGAGGGUUUCAAAUCCCUUGGAACUGGAAUUAUGAAUGGAUGUUACUCAUGAGAUUCUGCCCCAGUCCUCUUCAGGAGCAACAAGAGCUCUUAACCACUGAGCCAUCUCUCCAGCUGACAGAGGCCUGAUUUUUAUGAUGUGAAGUUUCAGUUAAAGAUUUUAGAUUUUAGUGAAGUUACAUGAUUUCCUUAAAAAUGUUCAAUGAAAUAAAAUAUUAGUGUAGAUCAUGGAGGGCAUUUCAUAUAUUUGUCUGUUGUACUUAGAAAAUAUCAGCUUUGACUUUUCAAUAGUAGUAAUCAUUCAAGGCUAGAGAGUCUACAGCCAAAUGGGCCACUUUGAUUUCCUUAAACCAGACCAUAGCAUCCCUUAUAUUUGAGGUUAAUUCCUUCUGUGUUUUGGCUUCUGAGUCUCUCUGGUUGUAACGUAAGAUGAGUCUCUGCUAUGUUUCUGUUUGGAACUGAACCAUGGCCAUGGCCAUAAUGGUGGAAAACACUGAGGAUGCUCUUAUUCCUGGUCUCCCAUGGUCUUAUUCCCUAUGUUUCCUCACACUCUAAGCCUGGAUGUGAGGGUCCUCAGAAACUGUGUUUGUGAAUUAGAAAAUAGUCUAACAAACAGUUUUAGAAGUAGAAAUCACCUGUAACUUUUGCCUCAAAUCCUUCUUUACUUGACUAUGGGGUUAUUUAGGCUGUGUGUCGUUUGGUUACCCCCUGAAGAGGCAUGCUCCUCAUGGAUAGCCACACUGUCUCACAUUUCCUGGAUUAAUGCCUUCAUUCAAGAAAUUUAGGUGUUCAUAAUUUUCUGUUUUGAACAGUAAUAGGGAUAUUCGUUGCAUAUAGCACAGUGUUGAUAUGAGAAGAAAUUAUUGCCUUUAGUUUUUAACAUGUUGCCUAGAAGGUAAGAGGCCACAAUCAAUUAUUUUGCAAUAACAAACACAAAUUUUUCAUCAGUAUGCUUGACAUUGUGCUAGAUUAUUUUAUGGGUGGGUGAUUUGGUGCGACUCAGCAAUAAAGGGUCUAGUUUUCCAGAGCUCCAUUUGGUAGAAAGAAGACAUGGUGUAUCCUUCUUGGUCUCCAGUCAAAAAAUGAGCAGUGGAUAAUUGUUGCCACAGGAGUCUGACUCCCAAUCACUGUGCCCAUCUCUUUUCUUCUCUCCAAAAUUCUCUUUCUGGCUGACUUCAGCCAUCACUGUCUGCUGCAUAGUUGCCGUUCCCUCUUUUUACAGACAAGAAUUGGAUUGCUUCUUUCCUUCUAAUAUUUGUUCAGCUAUUACUUUACCACUGAGGUUCUGACUAAACUACCUCAUAGAAAAUAAUAAGACCCUUCCCCUGAGCUUUAUUUUGUCCGGGCACAUUCUCCGAGUUUAUUUUAAGCUCAAUCAGAGCAGUGACUGAGAACUCUAGCACUACUAACAAUGCCUAGUAUACAUUGUAUGUGUGCGCUUAUGCAGUGUUUAAUAAGGAUUUACUGUACCAAUAAAGAGGAAAAGAGAUCCUUUUAGGUAUAAAAUGGAAGUUUGCAAAAGGCUUCUUUGGAGAAUGGGGCUGGAAAGAAAAUUUAAGAUGUAUAGAGAUAUAAGGGCAGGGCAGGAGUUCCAGGUAAAAGGUACAGAACUAGCAAAGGCAAAGAGGCAAGAAGCUUGUUCAAUAGCAAAACCUUUGGAUUAUCAAAUCUCCAGUCACCACUGUUUACAUUAAAAAGUACGCUGGGAAAGCGGCAGUAGCAGUAUUUCCGGUUAAGGUUCCGCCCACCGCGACCGAUUACGCUCGGACCUCCGGCGCCAUCAGGCUCCACCCACAGAGGGAGGGGCAGAAGAGAGUUGCACAAGCGCAGUCGCGUUCAAGCCAGCGCCCGGGCCUUCGGGCCCGAGGCGUCGCGUCGGUGUCGCGCAGUCUUCUCUGAGACAGUCGCGGGCUGUGGAGGCCGCGACGACGGCAGCGGCGGCGGCGGCGGCGGCGGC
RNAcentral lists this small RNA (4922 nucleotides) under Rattus norvegicus (Norway rat). RNAcentral's name for it is "uncharacterized LOC102547109". The record is from RNAcentral. Lineage: Eukaryota; Metazoa; Chordata; Mammalia; Rodentia; Muridae.